AACGAACGCUGGCGGCAGGCCUAACACAUGCAAGUCGAACGGUAACAGGUUAAGCUGACGAGUGGCGAACGGGUGAGUAAUGCAUCGGAACGUGCCCGAUCGUGGGGGAUAACGCAGCGAAAGCUGCGCUAAUACCGCAUAAGAUCUACGGAUGAAAGCAGGGGACCGCAAGGCCUUGCGCGAACGGAGCGGCCGAUGGCAGAUUAGGUAGUUGGUGGGAUAAAAGCUUACCAAGCCGACGAUCUGUAGCUGGUCUGAGAGGACGACCAGCCACACGGGGACUGAGACAAGGCCCAGACUCCUACGGGAGGCAGCAGUGGGGAAUUUUGGACAAUGGGCGAAAGCCUGAUCCAGCCAUGCCGCGUGCAGGAUGAAGGCCUUCGGGUUGUAAACUGCUUUUGUACGGAACGAAAAGACUCUUUCUAAUAAAGAGGGUCCAUGUCGGUACCGUAAGAAUAAGCACCGGCUAACUACGUGCCAGCCGCCGCCGUAA
Molecule: ribosomal RNA, 493 nt
Filed under: uncultured bacterium
Lineage: Bacteria
Description: partial 16S ribosomal RNA
Rfam family: Bacterial small subunit ribosomal RNA
Source: RNAcentral